UAUUGGACAAUGGGCGCAAGCCUGAUCCAGCAACGCCGCGUGGGUGACGAAGGCCUUCGGGUCGUAAAGCCCUGUGGGGAGGGACGAAAGUUCCUGACCUAAUACGUCAGGGGCCUGACGGUACCUCCUUAGCAAGCACCGGCUAACCACGUGCCAGCAGCCGCGGUAAUACGUGGGGUGCAAGCGUUGUUCGGAAUUACUGGGCGUAAAGCGUGUGUAGGCGGCCCGCUAAGUCUGGUGUGAAAUCCCCAAGCUUAACUUGGGAACUGCAUCGGAAACUGGCGGGCUUGAGUCCGGGAGAGGGUAGCGGAAUUCCUGGUGUAGAGGUGAAAUUCGUAGAUAUCAGGAGGAACACCGGUGGCGAAGGCGGCUACCUGGACCGGUACUGACGCUGAGACACGAAAGCGUGGGGAGCAAAC
RNAcentral lists this ribosomal RNA (419 nucleotides) under uncultured bacterium. Its description in RNAcentral is "bacterial SSU rRNA". It matches the Rfam family "Bacterial small subunit ribosomal RNA", at positions 362 to 773 of the family's 1533-position model. The record is from RNAcentral.